RNAcentral lists this non-coding RNA (80 nucleotides) under uncultured Symbiodinium. The record is from RNAcentral. Lineage: Eukaryota; Dinophyceae; Suessiales; Symbiodiniaceae.
GAAAAAUUAAAUUACAUAUCUAAAUUAUGCGUUUCUUUCUUUCUUUUUUUUUGUUUUUUAAUCUGGCGGUUGCUUUUUUU